RNAcentral lists this ribosomal RNA (442 nucleotides) under uncultured bacterium. RNAcentral describes it as "partial 16S ribosomal RNA". It matches the Rfam family "Bacterial small subunit ribosomal RNA", at positions 338 to 795 of the family's 1533-position model. The record is from RNAcentral.
CCUACGGGUGGCAGCAGUGGGGGAUAUUGCACAAUGGGGGGAACCCUGACCCAGCAACGCCGCGUGAAGGAAGAAGGCUUUCGGGUUGUAAACUUCUUUUGACAGGGAAGAGUAGAAGAAGGUACAUGUCGAAUAAGCUACGGCUAACUACGUGCCAGCAGCCGCGGUAAUACGUAGGUGGCAAGCGUUGUCCGGAUUUACUGGGUGUAAAGGGCGUGUAGCCGGGUUGACAAGUCAGAUGUGAAAUCCUGUGGCUUAACCGAAGAACUGCAUUUGAGACUGUUGAUCUUGAGUACUGGAGAGGCAGACGGAAUUCCUAGUGGAGCGGUGAAAUGCGUAGAGAUUAGGAGGAACACCAGUGGCGAAGGCGGUCUGCUGGACAGCAACUGACGGUGAGGCGCGAAAGCGUGGGGAGCAAACAGGAUUAGAUACCCCUGUAGUC